This 645-nucleotide long non-coding RNA is filed under the name Heterocephalus glaber (naked mole-rat). Its description in RNAcentral is "lncRNA (ENSHGLG00100047066.1)". The record is from RNAcentral. Lineage: Eukaryota; Metazoa; Chordata; Mammalia; Rodentia; Bathyergidae.
GUACCAGGCUCCUGGCCCUUCCAUGUGGGCUUCUCCCCCAUCUCUCCUUCUUGGAUGCCAUGAGUUGAGCAGCUUUCCUCUGCUACACUUUGCAACAUGAUGUUUUUGCCCUGCAAGCAGCCAACCAUGGACUGAAACACCUGGAACCGAAUUCUGAACAAUUACAUAAACUUGUGAAAAGAUUCAAAUGCCACCGCCACCCACAAUACCAGCACUGAAUUCUGUGCUUCAUAUGAUUACAAGAAAGGCUUUGAUAGAUUUUGAAAAAGUUGUCUUUGCUCUCCUGCAGAAUAAAAAUGUUCUAAGAAAAAGAUUAAGCCUCAAAAUCAAGGUAGAGACUUUGUCACCACUCAAGACAGUAGGGGCCUGGGCAAGACCACAGGAAAGGCAAGAGCAGUUCCUGGCACUUGAUGAACCUGUGGCCAUGGAGCGCACACUUGGCACAGGUCACGGGGAGCCGGGUUGUAUCAGAAAACACUAUAUCAAAUUAAAUUAGAAACAUUGUGUUUCAAAUACCAAGCCUUUCCUGAUUCUUUAUGAAAAAUUUCUUUUAGAGUUAAGGGAUCACAAGAAGGUAUUUGCACAUUGCUGGUUGAAGAAAAAGUUAAGCGAACAAGGAGUAUACGAACUCAGUUUCAAGCCCCG